Molecule: ribosomal RNA, 253 nt
Filed under: uncultured Acidobacteriota bacterium
Lineage: Bacteria; Pseudomonadati; Acidobacteriota
Description: uncultured Acidobacteria bacterium partial 16S ribosomal RNA
Rfam family: Bacterial small subunit ribosomal RNA
Source: RNAcentral
UACAGAGGUGGCAAGCGUUGUUCGGAAUUACUGGGCGUAAAGGGCGCGUAGGCGGCCUUCUCAGUCGGACGUGAAAUCCCCAGGCUUAACUUGGGAACUGCGUCCGAUACUGGAAUGCUUGAGUGCGGGAGAGGGAUGUGGAAUUCCAGGUGUAGCGGUGAAAUGCGUAGAUAUCUGGAGGAACACCGGUGUCGAAGGCGGCAUCCUGGACCGACACUGACGCUGAGGCGCGAAAGCCAGGGGAGCAAACGGG